CCUACGGGAGGCAGCAGUGAGGAAUAUUGGUCAAUGGGCGCGAGCCUGAACCAGCCAAGUCGCGUGAGGGAUGACGGAUCUAUGGUUUGUAAACCUCUUUUAUAAGGGAAUAAAGCGAGGGACGCGUCCUGCUUUGCAUGUACUUUAUGAAUAAGGAUCGGCUAACUCCGUGCCAGCAGCCGCGGUAAUACGGAGGAUCCGAGCGUUAUCCGGAUUUAUUGGGUUUAAAGGGUGCGUAGGUGGCUUUUUAAGUCAGCUGUGAAAGUUUGUGGCUCAACCGUAGAAUUGCCAUUGAGACUGGGGGGCUUGAGUAUAGUUGAGGCAGGCGGAAUUCGUGGUGUAGCGGUGAAAUGCAUAGAUAUCACGAAGAACCCCGAUUGCGAAGGCAGCCUGCCAAGCCAUGACUGACACUGAUGCACGAAAGCGUGGGGAUCGAACAGGAUUAGAUACCCGAGUAGUC
Molecule: ribosomal RNA, 460 nt
Filed under: uncultured bacterium
Lineage: Bacteria
Description: partial 16S ribosomal RNA
Rfam family: Bacterial small subunit ribosomal RNA
Source: RNAcentral